This is a long non-coding RNA of Trichomycterus rosablanca, 2598 nucleotides long. RefSeq lists it as uncharacterized. The transcript has 2 exons. The record is from RefSeq and is a predicted model, not a curated record. NCBI's taxonomy places the organism in Eukaryota, Metazoa, Chordata, Actinopteri, Siluriformes, Trichomycteridae.
UGUAAUGGUGAUGAGUUCUUGUUCUCUCUGCAGGUUGACACACAGCUGUAUUACAGAUGAAGGUUUUAUAUCUCUGGCUUCAGCUCUGAGAUCAAACUCCUCAUCACUCCUGAAAGAACUGAAUCUGAUCCACAAUAAUCCAGGAGAAUCAGGAGUGAAGCUUCUCACUGAUCUACAGAAGGAUCCUCACUGUAAACUGGAGACACUAUAUGUAUAAGUGACAGAGCACCUUGACCCGUGUGUGACCGGCACUUCAUGGUCAGAUGGAAUGAUCUUUAAUUUGAGCUGCUUUAUUAGCUGAAUGAAGCUUCACCAUGAGCAGAGAGAAGUUGUUCUUCACCUUAAUCUUCUAGUGACAGUUCAACCAACAGUGAAACCCCAAUAUAAUGAUGCAGACAUGAAUUGACCUGGACAUGAUGAGUUCCAAUUUGAUGUUUGGCAAGAUCUCUACAACCAAUCCAGCCAAUCUCUGUCAGUUACAGUAAUCACACUGAUCUUCUGCUGUCUGCUCUGUGUGAGCACAGGAAACCACCAUGUAAUAGAUAUGAAGAUAAAUGGUGGAGUGAAAAACACCUUAGUUUGAAAAAAUGACACUUUGACAUUAGGGAUGUCCCGAUCCGAUCUCAAAGAUCGGGAUCAGGGCCGAUCAAGGCAUUUUUUAACUGAUCGGCAUUGGCUUUACUAAACCCGAUCCUAAUCCCGAUCCUUUGUUUUACAUCAGCAGGAAAUACUUUAAAUUGGAAAGUGAAACAAGUCCAACAGUGAAGUGUAACGUCUGCAGUGUGAGCGUUUCACGAGGCGGUGGGAGCAGAGCUGCGUUCAUUACUGUAGAAUUUUAUUGUUUAUAUGGUGUGAGAGUCAAGAAUCACUCCGGUUUACAAAACAACGUAGUGAUGCACUUGCUUAAUAAAGAAAUAAAUACACGCUAUAUUCACAAAUUGUCGGGAGCAAAACACUUUAUUAACUUCUUCUGUUACGGUACCGAAUAGCGGACAGCUAGAGCCAAGCACGCUAUUCCAUGCACUAUGGAAGCCCCACAGGGUCAAAACACACUCACUUCGGGUAGAAACGUCCAUCAAACCAUCGUCACAAUACAAGCACUUUAAAAACUGGCUUUCCUUCAUAAAAAAAGAGCCUGUCCAUUUUAUUUUGGUAUUCAGGUUUUACUGUAAUGCUUUUAAGUAACUUUUUUUCUUAUAUUCAAGUUAAGCUGCUACACAGAUUUCUGUUCAUUUUUAGUGCAUCACUGCAUUAAACAGAUUUUAUUUAUUCAAAUGUAAAGUUUAAAGUAAAACUGUAAUUAUCUCACUCAUUUUGAUUGAUUUUGUAAAAAUAAAAAAACAUUAAGCCAAUAGUUUGGAUGCAGCAUUUUACCCUACAGCACUGCAGAGCUAUUCAGUUAUUAAACAUAUACACUGGAUUAAUUUGAAUAACUGUAAUGUAGUUGAAGUGUGCACUGUGUGAACAGUAUUAUCCAGUUCUUAUCUAGACAAUAUCUAGAAAAUAGAUAUUUCGGUUUAAGUAUCGGUUUGAGACUCGGUAUCGAAUCGGGAUCAAAUUUAAUAAUCGGGAUCGGGAACAAAAAAACGUGAUCGGGACAUCCCUAGUUGACUAUCUUCUUCUUAUUAUUAUUAGUGUGAUUGCAGUAGACAGUUACACUGCUGUUACUCCUCUUCUUCUUAUUAUUAUUCCACCUGUUUACCUUUUUUAGAGAUCCAACCUUUUCGUUCCAACUAAACGUCUGUCCUGUUGAUGAUACCACAGCUUGUAUUCAGCUUUUUGAUACGCACACCAGUUUACCCACCACGAACAUUUUAUACCUGUUUAGUCCCAUUCACUUCCAUUUAUUUUUUCAAAGGCAGGUUGAUCCACGGUACUUCUUAAAGAAUAGCAUGGACACACACACACACCUACAUGACCAAAAGUAUUAAGACAACUUAACACAACUACAUGACCAAAAAAAUUCAUGUACCACUGUAAUAAUAAGUUAUUUGGUAAAAAGCAGAGCUUGAUGAACAGAAUGGACGGCCACUGUCUCCCUCAUGACUUAUAAAAGAAUGUGUCAGGUUGUUCUAGAACAUUUCAAUAUUGAUUGUUUACAUAAACAAGUUAUAUAACCACGAAAAGGCAAAAACCAUUGCAAGUAGAUAGAACCUCACUAAAACACAGAGAGAAAAAAAGUAACUAAGGGCAGGCAACACUCGAGUAAGGGAGGGAAGCCUGGACAACUUCCAUCUCAUCUCCAGUGAAGGUUCUAGUUAACCUCUGCCCCGACCAUGGAGCCAUGACCAUAGGCUUAACCAACCACAGCCAGCUGCAAGGGGCAUCUGUGUGGGUAGGUGAUGGCUGAAUAGGGACAUUUAUUGCUUUUGCUACUUGUUUUAUCAUUUUGCAUGUGUUGUUGUUAAUACUAUCAUUUCAUUUACAUGUUAUAUACUGCAUUUAUAUGCUUUUAUAUAUAUUUUGUAAUGAGUUAUUAAUUAAUUAAUUGAUUGCCUACAGAUUUAUACUAUCAUUACCACUUAGUUACACAAUUUACUUAUUAACUGUUAUGUUACAUUUUGUUAGUUCAAUAAACAUUAUAAUGAUUAAUAAUUU